UAGUACGGCGAGUGAAGCGGCAACAGCUCAAAUUUGAAAGCUAGCCUUCGGGUUCGCAUUGUAAUUUGUAGAGGAUGCUUUGGGUAAAACGCCAGUCUAAGUUCCUUGGAACAGGACGUCAUAGAGGGUGAGAAUCCCGUAUGUGACUGGAAAUGUUAACCUAUGUAAAGCUCCUUCGACGAGUCGAGUUGUUUGGGAAUGCAGCUCUAAAUGGGAGGUAAAUUUCUUCUAAAGCUAAAUAUUGGCGAGAGACCGAUAGCGCACAAGUAGAGUGAUCGAAAGAUGAAAAGCACUUUGGAAAGAGAGUUAAAAAGCACGUGAAAUUGUUGAAAGGGAAGCGCUUGCAAUCAGACUUGUUUAAACUGUUCGGCCGGUCUUCUGACCGGUUUACUCAGUUUGGACAGGCCAGCAUCAGUUUCGGCGGCCGGAUAAAGGCUCUGGGAAUGUGGCCUCCACUUCGGUGGAGGUGUUAUAGCCCAGUGUGUAAUACGGCCAGCCGGGACUGAGGUCCGCGCUUCGGCUAGGAUGCUGGCGUAAUGGUUGUAAGCGACCCGUCU
RNAcentral lists this ribosomal RNA (557 nucleotides) under Aureobasidium namibiae. RNAcentral describes it as "partial large subunit ribosomal RNA". It matches the Rfam family "Eukaryotic large subunit ribosomal RNA", at positions 81 to 654 of the family's 3401-position model. The record is from RNAcentral. Lineage: Eukaryota; Fungi; Ascomycota; Dothideomycetes; Dothideales; Saccotheciaceae.